GAUGAACGCUGGUGGCGUGCUUAACACAUGCAAGUCGAACGGUGAAGCAGAGCUUGCUCUGUGGAUCAGUGGCGAACGGGUGAGUAACACGUGAGCAACCUGCCCCUGACUCUGGGAUAAGCGCUGGAAACGGCGUCUAAUACUGGAUAUGAGCUGCGACCGCAUGGUCAGCAGUUGGAAAGAUUUUUCGGUCUGGGAUGGGCUCACGGCCUAUCAGCUUGUUGGUGAGGUAAUGGCUCACCAAGGCGCCGACGGGUAGCCGGCCUGAGAGGGUGACCGGCCACACUGGGACUGAGACACGGCCCAGACUCCUACGGGAGGCAGCAGUGGGGAAUAUUGCACAAUGGGCGAAAGCCUGAUGCAGCAACGCCGCGUGAGGGAUGACGGCCUUCGGGUUGUAAACCUCUUUUAGCAGGGAAGAAGCGAAAGUGACGGUACCUGCAGAAAAAGCGCCGGCUAACUACGUG
Molecule: ribosomal RNA, 467 nt
Filed under: uncultured bacterium
Lineage: Bacteria
Description: partial 16S ribosomal RNA
Rfam family: Bacterial small subunit ribosomal RNA
Source: RNAcentral